This 253-nucleotide ribosomal RNA is filed under the name uncultured bacterium. Its description in RNAcentral is "partial 16S ribosomal RNA". It matches the Rfam family "Bacterial small subunit ribosomal RNA", at positions 524 to 776 of the family's 1533-position model. The record is from RNAcentral.
UACAGAGGUCUCAAGCGUUGUUCGGAUUCAUUGGGCGUAAAGGGUGCGUAGGCGGCGGGGCAAGUCGGAUGUGAAAUCUCAGGGCUCAACCCUGAAACUGCAUUCGAUACUGCCUUGCUCGAGGACUGGAGAGGAGAUUGGAAUUCACGGUGUAGCAGUGAAAUGCGUAGAUAUCGUGAGGAAGACCAGUGGCGAAGGCGGAUCUCUGGACAGUUCCUGACGCUGAGGCACGAAAGCGUGGGGAUCGAACAGG